UUGAACGCUGGCGGCAUGCUUUACGCAUGCAAGUCGAACGGCAGCGCGGGGCAACCUGGCGGCGAGUGGCGAACGGGUGAGUAAUAUAUCGGAACGUACCCAAGAGUGGGGGAUAACGUAGCGAAAGUUACGCUAAUACCGCAUACGAUCUAUGGAUGAAAGUGGGGGAUCGCAAGACCUCAUGCUCCCUGGAGCGGCCGAUAUCUGAUUAGCUAGUUGGUGAGGUAAAGGCUCACCAAGGCGACGAUCAGUAGCUG
Molecule: ribosomal RNA, 257 nt
Filed under: uncultured bacterium
Lineage: Bacteria
Description: partial 16S ribosomal RNA
Rfam family: Bacterial small subunit ribosomal RNA
Source: RNAcentral